UGUGUCUUGUAAUACAUGAAAAUUUACUCUGACCUGGUUUGGUAAUAACUGUUUUCUGUUUUCUUGGUAUAGCUCAACUAUGAAAGCUUUCAGUCUACCUUAAGCUAUUUAAAAAAUGAUUGUCUUCCAGGGUUGACAAUCAACUCUGAUAUGUCCUGCAGCUUUGGAACAUAUCUCAUAGAGUGGAGAUUUGAUCAUGGUCACCUGGUGUUUGCCACUUCUCCAGUUUUCUGAGCUGUUUGAGAAAUCCCAGUUAUUGUUCGGAAAAUCGGGACUCAGCAGACAAGGAGUGACUACAACAGAGGAACGUGUCAGGAGGUUAUUCAAAAAGAAGGUUGUGAUGGAGGAUUUUAUUAUUAUAAAGUACUUGCCUCGGAGAUUUUCUCAGCUCUCAAAGUUGCAGAAAAAGGGACUUAUGCUUGAGUUCAUCCAAGGCCAGAAGAAUGUGCAGUCUGUCUCAAAGGAUUCUGGAGCUGCUCAGGGAUGGAAAUGGAGAGGUGGUCAUCAAGAGCCUCCAUGUGUUCAUGAAUGUACUCCAGCACAAAGACAUCCUGGUAUCCAGCACCACUGCCCCAAAGCUGACUGAGGCACUCCGGGUGCUCUUUGACCACGUAAGGUUCUGCAUCCUGAGCCACAGGCAUCGGGUGCUUCCCAGAAACUUGGUGCCCUGUGGAUUUUCAGGCCUUUGC
This 689-nucleotide long non-coding RNA is filed under the name Chloebia gouldiae (Gouldian finch). RNAcentral describes it as "Erythrura gouldiae (Gouldian finch) lncRNA (ENSEGOG00005004055.1)". Lineage: Eukaryota; Metazoa; Chordata; Aves; Passeriformes; Passeridae. The record is from RNAcentral.